GCCAUUUUCCUCCGGAAGUGCGGAUCCCAGCGGCGGUCGUGUAGCUGAGCAGGCCUGGGGCUUGGUUCUAUGUCCCUGUAGCUAUGUUUCCAGUGUCCUCUGGGUGUUUCCAAGAGCAACAAGAAACGAAUAAAUCUCUGGUACUACUGGUACAGCCAUGGUGGAGAACAGUUUGGAGGUUCCUCUAAACACUGAAAAUAGAGGUGCCACAUGAUCCAGCAAUCCCACUGUUGGAUAUAUACCCCAGAAAUAAGAAAUGAGUAUAUCGAAGAAAUUAUCUGCACUCCCAUGUUGGUUGCACCACUGUUGACAAUAGCUAAGAUUUGGAAGCAACCUAAGUGUCCAUCAACAGAUUAAUGUAUUAAAGAAAAUGUGGUAGAUACA
Molecule: long non-coding RNA, 384 nt
Organism: Homo sapiens (human)
Lineage: Eukaryota; Metazoa; Chordata; Mammalia; Primates; Hominidae
Gene: TEKT4P2
Product: tektin 4 pseudogene 2
Source: Ensembl